RNAcentral lists this ribosomal RNA (253 nucleotides) under uncultured bacterium. RNAcentral describes it as "partial 16S ribosomal RNA". It matches the Rfam family "Bacterial small subunit ribosomal RNA", at positions 524 to 776 of the family's 1533-position model. The record is from RNAcentral.
UACAGGGGGUGCAAACGUUGCUCGGAAUCAUUGGGCGUAAGGCGCACGUAGGCGGUUCGUUAUGUCGGAUGUGAAAGCCCUUGGCUUAACCGAGGAAGUGCAUCCGAAACUGGCGAGCUAGAGUACUAAAGAGGAUCGCGGAAUUCCCGGUGUAGAGGUGAAAUUCGUAGAUAUUCGGAGGAACACCAGUGGCGAAGGCGGCUCACUGGUCCAUUACUGACGCUGAGGUGCGAAAGCGUGGGGAGCAAACAGG